UUUUGAUAAGCUGAUAAGGUGACAUUUGACGUAUUGUGUCGUUCGAACAACAAUUUUAUUAUGAUAAUAGGCGCAAAUUUAUGUAAAAGUACACAAAAUUAUGGUAAAUAGAAGUACAAGUACACACGUACGUAAAGCAACAAUAUUUUUGAAGUGGAAAAUCAUUAAUAAACAUUCUGUUUAUAUUUAAAGACAUACUAAAGUACGUAUUAUUAUAUACUUACGUUGUAAAAAGCUUACAAGUAGAAAUAUGGAGUAGUGGUACUAUAUACAAAAACCAAAAUCAGCACUUGAAACGCCUUGUUUCCAAAAUGGAUUGGUCAACAUGUUCACCAGACAUAAUCUUGAUGCUUUUUAAAUACCUGGAUAGUAAAUCUCUUGUGAAUUGUUUCUCCGUAUGCAAGUCUUGGAGAGAUCUAGUGGAUUAUCAUGCAGGGGUUAAAGGAAUAUGGCCAGACCUAGCACAAUUGGCAAUAUACAAUAAAGGUAUUGCUUUUAAACAGAGGUCUCUUCUUCCUUGGAGAGACCUAUACUUUAAUAAACAGCUAUGGAUAAAUGGGAAUGUUCAUAUUCAAUUUGAUACAAUUCUAGAAUUGAAUCAAUUUAAACACAUGCAUGUGUUUGAAGAUAACAUAACUGUCAUCAUAGAAUCUGGUAUGAAACAAUACAAAGUUGAUACAUUAGUAAAAACUUUGGAAGAAAAUGGUGUUCAAGACUAUCAAAAAACUCAUUGUGUAACUGGAAAACUGGUCAAUGGAAUUUUGACACUAAAUAUCGGACAUCGACAGAAACAUUUCUCUAUUAAUUGUUGUGCUUUCAUAAUAAAUAAUGAUCACUGUUUCAUUAUUGACUCGGGAAAAAUAUUCCGCGUUGUUAAAUGCUGUUGUUCUGUAAUACCAGUUGAUCAGCCAAUGAAAUUCAAAAAAACAGCCACACUGAGACUUUACAACACCCUUGGCACCAUCCAUAGUGCAAAUGUUGUUAAUGAUGUAAUUUAUGUUGUAAAUAGAGAAGGAAGAAUUGUAAAGUUGAAGGGUAUGGAUUUCUUAGGUGUAACGCUGGGCAAUAUAAGUUUCCCGCCUAUUUAUAACCCAUUAGUUGUGUGCAUGUUUCUACGGUUUAGUGUCAUUUAUAGUGAUUAAUAGAGAAUCGCUGUUUUACAAUAGAUGUGAAAAAUGCAUUAAUAUUGAUAAAAAUUAGCACAGAUAAUGUAAUGCAUGACACAUUAAUGCGGAGCUACGAUCCUUAUGGAUCGAUUUGUAGCAUUAAUAUUUAUUUUGAUGAUGUUUACGUUUUGAAACGUAAUGGCAGUAUAAUACGAGCCGACUCUUGUUACAUGGUUACAAUUAUUGGCAAAAUAGAUUCACCGCAUUUUUAUAAUAAUCCGUCAGUAAUGUGUUUGUUUCUAAAGCACAGUGUUAUUUAUAGUGUUCGCAGUGAGGAUGGAUCGAAAUCAAUGAAAGCGACAAAAAUUACAGACACGGAGGAGAUAGUUGUGGAAUGUUCUGGACUAAGUUGUGCUACACCGCACAGUGACUUACUGUUUUUAGGAUAUGAAGAUGGGGAGGUCCGAGGCUAUUUACCAAAGAGAAUGUUGCAAACAAACGAGCCACUUUUUACAUUUAAUAUCAAGGAUAUUGUUAAGUGUAAUCUUGUGGAUGCCGCUGUCAAGGCGAUAGAGGUUUAUGAAGCAAAUGAAUCUCAUUAUUUGUUCAUAGCAACGAAAAACGAAUUAAUAAAAGUUGUAGUUACUCACAACUAAAAAAAAGUUGAUUUACUCCAGUAUUUUUAUUUGCAAGAAUUUAUAAACAGAAUGAAAGUGAUAUUUGUCGUUGAAAUCGUUACGACUUGCCAUAUAAUUGCAUUUUUUUAUUAUUAUUGAUUAAGAAAAAAAGUGAUUUUAAAACCCAAAAAGGAAUUUUUACGCCUAUUUUGUUCAAGACG
This is an RNA transcript of Papilio polytes (common Mormon), 1944 nucleotides long. RefSeq lists it as uncharacterized. The record is from RefSeq and is a predicted model, not a curated record. The transcript has 8 exons. NCBI's taxonomy places the organism in Eukaryota, Metazoa, Arthropoda, Insecta, Lepidoptera, Papilionidae.